Molecule: long non-coding RNA, 4254 nt
Organism: Silurus meridionalis
Lineage: Eukaryota; Metazoa; Chordata; Actinopteri; Siluriformes; Siluridae
Exons: 5
Source: RefSeq, a predicted model, not a curated record
UCCUCUUCUCCAUUCGGGCUUUCAGAGGAUUUAACUCAGAGCGCUUCCUUUAGUCGCAGCAGGGAGGACCAACAAGACAUCAAGACUUCUCGAUAACCUAAACUCUCUAAGCCAAAUCCACACACCUUUUUUUUUCCCUUAGAGCAAUGGCAGAAUGCUGGCAGGACAGCAGGGAUAGAGGGACUUGCUCUUUUAAAGCGGAAGUAUUGGGGUCAGAGGUCACAUGCUCAAACGCAGAGGGUCAGAGAUCCAGCUGCAAAACAGGACAAAGAUCUCAUGCUGAGAGAAAGAGAGACACAACGUGAGAUGGAGAGAGGGAGUGUGGGGUGUGUGUGUUUUUAUCAGAGAAACAGAAGGCCAAAGCAAGCAAGGAAAAAAAAAGGGAUGAACGAAUAUACGAAUACACACUUAGCCUUUGGCUCAGGUGAGAAAGUAGCACCUCACAGCCUCCGCAGACCAACACGACUCUCCCGGUCUUCAGUAUCACGCCAUGCACACUCUCUCAGUGUUGGUCAGAGAGAAAGCAUGAGAAUUGCGGGGUGUAAAUUUAAAUCAAGCUAAAUGAAGAUCAAGGAUCAAUAAUCUAUGGGUGAUCUUGGAGAAAAGCCGCUCUGCAGGAGGCAGCGCUCAUGACAUCUUUAUGUAUGAUGUUCCUGUUUCAAAAUGCCAUCGACCCUUCAGAUGAGCGCGGGUUCCGCGAGCUCCAUACCCGAAACCACCAUCAGAUUUUUCUUAUUGACACAUGCUUGUGGAGAAGGCCAGACGAGGCCAUCCAAAGGGUGUUGCUGCUCACACCUAAAACACUGCUUUACAUAUUAAACCGCAGAUAACUUAUAAUUAUAAUGAGAUUUUCUUUUUCAUUUUUUGUAGGUGAUAAAAAGAUGCAAAAUUGGCUGUACCUUUCCUCCAGCCCUCCUAUCCGUCCCCAGUCCUGUUUUAUCGCAAGGUUCAACAGUGUCACAUGGAGAGAGAUAGCACUUAAUCACCUAGACAAACACACCAUUACCCUUUGAAUUCACACAGUGCAUUAAAAUGACAUUAAAUAUGGUAAACUAUUCUCAUUACCCAAACACAUGCAUAAAAUCUCUGUCUUUUCUCAAUCCAGAGGUCAGAGCAAUGAAUCCCGCUAUUUGAGCCGUUUUUAAAAUGUGUGACCUGCUGAAAACUCUGCUUUGGGAAUCAUUUAAAGUUAAAAGCUACCACGCAUUAAUGCAAGCAGUCAGCUGCCACUAACUGGAUUGAGGCGAUAACUAUCAGCAUGGAUUCCUGUCUGAAGCCUCUCGCUGGACAGAACGCUCAUUUUGAACGCUUCCAGCAAGAGAUCACAAAGUCAUUAACUAUUUUCUGUCUUUCUCAGCAGUUAGCGCUGAUGUCGCCCGCUCGGCCAUAAUGUAUUGUGCUGCAAACAAGAAGGAUGGCCGGAUCUCUGCCUCCCGGUGCCACGGGGCCCCACGGUGACGUGGAGGCUCAGGUAUAUGGAUGGCCUGAGGAGGUCUCCAUCAUUCAUAAAACAUGCCGCCGCCAUACGCCGCCGAAUUGAUCUUGCAAAAGAAGCCGGGUGGCAUGCCGACCACUUCAUUAGUCUUCUGGAUCCACAAAUCAAACCUCUGUAGACUCGCACAGCCACCACAGCUACCAAAUCCUAAUCUCAACACUACUCCGUUUCUGGCUUUCUUGCAGUUUUCCAAUCUGCACACCUUCCACACACCGUAUUUAUUGUGCAUGGCCAACUGGCACUGGCCGGAAUAAACAUCUGCAGGAAAGGCCGUGUCCGGCAACAGAAGCCCCGUAAGCUGUGUACAGAAAUGCACACAAAUCUCAGCCAUGGUAAUUGAUCAUUCGUGGUCAUUUCGGGCGUCGUGGGAUGAAAUCAAGUAGCUUCUCCAUAAAACAAUGUCAAAUAUUGAUGAUAUUUCUUUUCGCUGGCCCUCGGAAUGAAUUGCCGCACUCACCGAGCCUUCAUGAUGAAUGCUUUUUAUUGCUUUUUCUGUUGUUGUUGGAGUGCUUGGACUCUUUGUAGCAUGCAGAAGCAGCUAAGCCAGACCUCCUGCAAUACUGGGACAGCACUGGCUACAGAGCAAACCACUGCCUCUUUUUUAUCUGAUGUACUUUGUUCUGUAGAAGAACCCAUAAAUCAACAUAAAAAACAUUCCAUUUGCACUAUAUGAUUUCAUGAAACGAAAUAAGACCCUUCCCAGCAUGUUAAUAAAGACAUUGAAGAGCUGUAAGAUUUUAUUGACAGAUAUAGAUCACAGUUGGAGUCAAAUGGCAAAAAAAAAAAAAAGAGUUGUAGCUUUGCUUGGAGAGGAAAAAAAAGAAAGUGUAAUGUCUUUCUCUUGUUCUCCCUCCUGUGCACCUCCUUUGUCUGUCUGUCUCUCCACGUCUCUCAGAAAACAAACUGUUCUUGUAUUGUGUUGUCUCUUUAAAGUUGCAUGGCUGCCCUCAACCCCCGCCUUGUUCCUGCACAGCCUAUUCCCCCAACUGUCAUUCCAGCAGGUCUAAAAGCCUGUCUUGUGAGCUGUUCAACAUCAGAAACUGUUUGUGUAUUUGUCAGUUUGGUACCUCUAGAAAUUCACUUCACUUAAGACAAGGAUGCCUGAGGACUUUUGUUUGGGAGACUUAGACCUUCUGUUUAAAGCUAUUGGCUAAUAUUUUCCCAAACCUGUCCCUGGGGACCCCUUAAAUAAACAUUGUCAACUAGUGGACCAUAGUUUGGAUUCAUAGCCAGCAAGGAAUUUUACAAUUGAACUAAGAAAUUACAAAAAUACUGUAGGAAGCUAAUGGCAGUUUGAAGUUUUCUAAUCAUGAGGCUUUUUUGGUGCAGUUUAUCCAAUCACUUCUAUUUUUUCACAUUUAUUUUAUUAUUUUUAUUUACACUAUCUGGUCUGAAUAGUACAUUUAGUGACUGCAUACUAUUAAAAGCCAACAACAAAAAAAUGUUUGAAAAACGUGUCUGAUACACUAUAUGGACAAAAGCUUGUGGUCACUAUUAAGUUUCCAUUUUCUGCUUUAAUACCGUCCACUCUUCUGGGAUGUUUUGGGUGUGUUUGUGGAGAUUUGUGUUCAUUCAACCACAAGGGUGUUAGUAAAGUCAGGUACUGAUGUGGAUGAGGUGAUGAAGUCUGGGGUGUAGUCAGCAUUCUAAAUCAUCCAAAUGCAUUCAUUAGAGUUGAAGUCAGAACUUGAUAUUAUAUAAAUUGAAGCUCUAUGUGGUUUGGAUUCAUUUUACAUGGGAAGAUGAGGUGAUGUGGUGAUGUAAUUAUUGCCAGAUUAGUUGUGGGAUUUGACAGACUGCAUGCGAAUGGGUCCGGAACGACUGCACUGUAUUUUACCUUCUAUUAUAUGACCACUAGUAAUAUUUUCCAUCUGAAUUGACAUUUAUUAAUAACCAUGAAUUAAUCACUAAUGGAUAAUCAUUGAAAAGGAACUGCUGGCUUCAUUUAGUCAUGUAACUGUCUUAUCAAGGAUUUUGUAAUCUAAAAGGAUCAUUGCAGGUUUUAGUAACAGAUAAACCAAAUUGCUGCUAUAUCCAAAAAUCCCCCUAUGCCCCAUAAUCCCCAAACAUAAAUGUUGGCCCUCUGUGGGAAACUGUGCGAAAUCAAGUUUGGGAAACACAAGCUCAGCUAUAAAAUAGCCUGAGCAUUUUUUUUAAAUUAUAGAUUGGUUCUGAAGUUGAAAUAUUUCUGAUUAAACAUUAGGGCUGCCUAUAAAAUUGCAUAAGAGUGUCAUUAUUGUGUUAAUAGAGAAACCUUUAGCAGGGUUAUCUUUAUAUCACCUAAAAUUCCCGAUAUAUUUUCAAUACUUCUUUCAAAGAUUAUCAAGCCUCAAGAAUGUUUUUCAGUAUAAGCAUAAAUAAUUCAGUCCCCUCAGUUCAGGAUAAGAAAGUGUGUAUGUGUGCGUGUGUCUGAUGUGAGGGUCAAACUACUCCCCCUGGUUUGCCUUAUUUGAAGAGUGGCCCAGCAAAGCACGAGACAGAAGUGGUGCGAGGGCUGGAGGUCCACUGGGAAUUUUGAAUGUCUCUAUUACAGGACCGGAGCGAUUUGUAUGGAAUUAUGUCAAGCAAUGGCGAUGUGGACCUUUGGGACGUUGACACUCCUGGCCCUGCUGCAAAAUGAUCCUGGCCCAAGUCUCUUUCUUGUAUCUGCUUUUUUUAGAUGCUUGUAAAAAGACAGUGGAUAAAUCUAUAAAGAAACAAAGCAAAUCAAAUAUUUUUUUUUAAUACUGGGUUUACCAUAUAGGUAAAUCUCUGAAUAA